UUAUCAUUUUGCCAAGCUUCAGGGAUCAUCAUCAUUAUAGCUUCAGGGAGACUUCUUCCAGCUCGAACUAGAAGCUCAAGUACACCAUCAAAAGCCCCUGAGUCAGAAGAACUAGCAUCCACAAUAGGUAGAAGCUUCUUCAUCUCAUUCUUGGACAGAUCAAGCUCCUUGCACUUCAAUAGACCCUCACGUGCCUUCAUCCAGUUCACAUUGCCUCUAAGCGUAUUAAUUUCCCCAUUAUGGCCCAAGACACGCAUAGGUUGAGCACGAUCCCAGCUAGGAAAUGUAUUUGUAGAAAAUCGAGAGUGUAUCAGGGCCAUGUAGCUCGUAAACCUUUCAUUGCCAAGAUCUGCAU
Molecule: unclassified non-coding RNA, 355 nt
Filed under: Hevea brasiliensis (rubber tree)
Lineage: Eukaryota; Viridiplantae; Streptophyta; Magnoliopsida; Malpighiales; Euphorbiaceae
Source: RNAcentral